Molecule: transfer RNA, 85 nt
Filed under: Cymbomonas tetramitiformis
Lineage: Eukaryota; Viridiplantae; Chlorophyta; Pyramimonadophyceae; Pyramimonadales; Pyramimonadaceae
Description: tRNA-Ser
Rfam family: tRNA
About the family: Transfer RNA (tRNA) molecules are approximately 80 nucleotides in length.
Source: RNAcentral
GGAGAGGUGUCCGAGUGGUUUAUGGUUCUGGUCUUGAAAACCAGUGUAAUGAAAGUUACCGUGGGUUCGAAUCCCACCUUCUCCG